Molecule: long non-coding RNA, 2652 nt
Filed under: Mus musculus (house mouse)
Lineage: Eukaryota; Metazoa; Chordata; Mammalia; Rodentia; Muridae
Description: long non-coding RNA chr19:29012843-29015495
Source: RNAcentral
AUGGAAAGUGUCAUUCAGAAGACAAUAUGAGGAGAGUCCUGUAUUUAUCUAUAAGCCUCAUAAAAUGGUAAAAAAAUUGAGAUUUUUCAAUUUCUUGACCUUAGGUCACUAUAAUUUUACCAUUUUAGUAACAUGUAUUUAAAACAGUUCUUAAAUUUACAUUAACCUUUAACCUAAUAUAGUAUAUAAAGUAGUAAAGAAUGCAGAUGAUCACAUUUAACUCAGCCAACAACAUUUUUACGGAUAUAAAUAUCUACAUUCUGGCUUUAAAUAAUUACUAGUGUUCUCUUUUAAUUAGACACAUUAGGAAUAGCCCCCUAAAGAAUGCCUGCCUGCAGGUCUCCUCUUUAUUUUUAAUUUUCUAAGAUGUGUUUUAUUUUAUAUGUAUGAAAAUACUUUGCCUUCAUGUGUGUGUGUGUGUGCACCACAUGUGUACCUGGUACCACAGAGUCCGGAAGAGGGCUUUAGAUCCCCUAGACCUGCUCCUUACAAAUGGUUGUCAGUUGCUGUGGGUGCAGGAAUUGGACCCUAGACCUCUGUAAGAGCAGCAAGUGCUCUAAACUGCUGCGCCGUCUCCCAGCCCCCAGGCAGUUCUUUAAUGCUAUUUAAAUACAGUAUUGAAGCAGCCCGUGAGAAAGCAGGUUUUCCAAGGGAGUCUUAUGAUGAUGUUGAGAGCAAUAAAUACAUCUAAAAUUAGUCACCUGAUGCGUCCAGAGGAACAAGAGAUUUAUAGAAUGUCAUUGGUUCUUUACAUAAAACGAGAACAUUAAAAUACAAGCAGCCUAUAUUAUCAGAAAGAUGCUUCUGGUUUGAGAGAAGUAAAUUAAAAGCUGACACCAGUGGCCAGGCCUCCAUUGCCAUUUGUGGUAGAGCAGGCUGGAGUCAUAGAAUUUUGUCAUUUGCAUUAUUUCUAUUAUGGGGAAUCUUCAUAAUGAAUCAAGAAUAAUAGACCAGUUGUUCCCUACAGGGUGAGAAUAUAAGCUUCCUGACCUAGACAGCCUCAGGGAAGGUGUGCUGUUCAGGAGUCUUUCUAGUUACAUAAAAUUGUGACGAGAUGAAGGCAGCGGGACUAGGAGAGGCCACCUGAGGGACCAAGAUGACAAUUUUGAGGUCUGAAAACAACAAUAUUACUACAUAUUACUACAAUAAUGGUAUACCAUUUUUAUAUCACUUUAUGAGUUAUAUAAUAUGUUAUGUAUCAUUUAAUCCUUAUAAAAUGCUAUGAUUAUAUUAAUCCAUGUUUUUAGAUAAGUAAAUUGAAAAUUAUGAGGUUAAAUUACUUUGCCUAAAGCCAACACAGUAAGUGAUGGGGCUGAUACUCUAAUUUUGACUCUCCUUCCCCACUUCCCCACUCUUGAGUCUUGUGAGUCAUACAUGAGCAGCAGUCAAGCUGAGAGUGCUGGUGGGCACACACACUCACUAGGCUUUCAGCAUCAGAUAGGGCAAGGAUGCUGAUUCUCCAUGGCUGGUGGGUCCAUGAGCUCUGGAGAAUCUCUUCAGCCAAUACUUGAUACUCAGAAUUCUGUCAUGACAGAGUUACUAUAAGUUUGAUCUUGAAGGACCCUGAAAUCUAAAAUGGGUGUCAAGAAAAAGGACUUAGGACUACUUUGUGGAAGUAGACUAAUAUAAGAGUAUUGAUUGUUUUAUAAAGCUUAGAAUUUGGUAACACUCUUGAUUUUAGUUUUUUUUACUAGUGAAGAGGCCUGUGAAAUACACCAUCCACACCAUCCUUAGCCUGGAUGAGACUCGGCGCUGGCUCCUGGGAGGAAGGGAGCAGCUGCCUCAUGUUCACUCUCUGGCCUUUCCUCCUUGAGUGAUACGAAUACUACAUAGAAACACUAAAACACAGUAAAAAGGACUCUGGGGAAUAAUCAAAUUCGACCUAGCUUUUGCCCUUUACUGAAGAAACUGCAGUGUGGUAGGGUUUCCUCCCUUUAGUUUUUGUUUGUUUUGGUUUUUGGUUUUUGGGUUUUUUUUGGCAAGUUUGACUGUUGUAAUCAAGGUUGGUCUUGAACUGCUAGAUCCUCUUGCCUGCUAGAAUUAUGGGAGAGAGUCAUUGUACUUGGCUUGGAAAGCAUUGCACUUUAUUAGGAUUAAGACAAAAACAGUUUCCCUGUGAGAUGAGCCAUUUAUGACAUGAUCUCCAGUAACCUUUGUCUUCCCACUCUCGGGAGGCUCAGGCAGCAGAGCUCAGACUGCAGGCCAGCCUGGGUGAAGAAGAAAAAGCCCAUCUCAUUUGGAUAACUUUGUCACUAAUGUUUAUUAAAAACAAAUGACAUUAGGUAGUAAAAGUUAAAAAAAAAAAAAAAGUAGUUGCUGGAAAAUGUUCAGAAUAACUGAGUAGGAAAAAAAAUCACUUCCAAAGGAGGCCAUUGCCAUGUAAUGUCAUGGGUUUUAAAUCUUAAACUCUUUUCCAUGGAAAAUUUAAAAAGAAUGCAUUUGAUUUUGCAUUAAUUAGACAAUAUUUUAUGUUAUCUAUUAGUUUUAGAAAAUAAAAUCUGAUUUUCCUUUAGUUUUCUUUACUCAGUAAGUGUAUUUUGCCUUCAUCUAAAUGUUUUACAUUUAUAGUUCUUAACUCUUGUAAUUAGAUGAUAAUCUUAAGAAUACAUUGCUGGCUAAAACCUGUACUUUAACAAAUGUAGUUUUUAAGUU